GAAGGUUAAAAUCUUCGUCUCGAUGAGGUAGAAUGGGCUUAAAUAAUAACAAAGAGACGAAUUUUGGUCCCUAAGAGACCUCAUGAUGCAAAUGUAUGUAUGCAAAAGGUAACACUCUGUGGAGAUAUGUGUCCACAAAGAAGGAAAAGAAAUCAGGAGAAACUGAUAAUCCAUAUGAGUAAUUUACUCCAUGGGACAGAGACUCUGG
Molecule: long non-coding RNA, 208 nt
Filed under: Lathyrus oleraceus (garden pea)
Lineage: Eukaryota; Viridiplantae; Streptophyta; Magnoliopsida; Fabales; Fabaceae
Description: Pisum sativum (pea) long non-coding RNA (PSAT_LNC037207)
Source: RNAcentral